GACGAACGCUGGCGGCGUGCUUAACACAUGCAAGUCGAACGGAAAGGCCCUGCUUUUGUGGGGUGCUCGAGUGGCGAACGGGUGAGUAACCCGUGAGUAACCUGCCCUUGACUUUGGGAUAACUUCAGGAAACUGGGGCUAAUACCGGAUAGGAGCUCCUGCUGCAUGGUGGGGGUUGGAAAGUUUCGGCGGUUGGGGAUGGACUCGCGGCUUAUCAGCUUGUUGGUGGGGUAGUGGCUUACCAAGGCUUUGACGGGUAGCCGGCCUGAGAGGGUGACCGGCCACAUUGGGACUGAGAUACGGCCCAGACUCCUACGGGAGGCAGCAGUGGGGAAUAUUGCACAAUGGGCGGAAGCCUAAUGCAGCAACGCCGCGUGCGGGAUGACGGCCUUCGGGUUGUAACCCGCUUUCGCCUGUGACGAAGCGUGAGUGACGGUAAUGGGUAAAGAAGCACCGGCUAACUACGUG
This 468-nucleotide ribosomal RNA is filed under the name uncultured bacterium. Its description in RNAcentral is "partial 16S ribosomal RNA". It matches the Rfam family "Bacterial small subunit ribosomal RNA", at positions 28 to 507 of the family's 1533-position model. The record is from RNAcentral.